GGGGAAGUGUCGGAACUGGUAGACGAGCGUGAUUUAGGAUCACGUGGAGAUUUCUCCGUGAGAGUUCGAGUCUCUCCUUCCCCACCA
Molecule: transfer RNA, 87 nt
Filed under: Chloroflexota bacterium
Lineage: Bacteria; Bacillati; Chloroflexota
Description: tRNA-Leu
Rfam family: tRNA
About the family: Transfer RNA (tRNA) molecules are approximately 80 nucleotides in length. Their secondary structure includes four short double-helical elements and three loops (D, anti-codon, and T loops).
Source: RNAcentral